This 266-nucleotide ribosomal RNA is filed under the name uncultured bacterium. RNAcentral's name for it is "partial 16S ribosomal RNA". It matches the Rfam family "Bacterial small subunit ribosomal RNA", at positions 793 to 1055 of the family's 1533-position model. The record is from RNAcentral.
GUCCACGCCGUAAACGAUGGUCACUAGGUGUGUGCGGUAUCGACCCCGCACGUGCCGCAGCUAACGCAAUAAGUGACCCGCCUGGGGAGUACGGCCGCAAGGUUGAAACUCAAAGGAAUUGACGGGGGCCCGCACAAGCGGUGGAGCAUGUGGAUUAAUACGUCACUAACCGUAGAACCUUACCCAGGCUUGACAUCCCCGGAACCCCUCUGAAAGGAGGGGGUGCUCGCAAGAGAGCCGGGAGACAGGUGUUGCAUGGCUGUCGU